Long non-coding RNA from Leptinotarsa decemlineata (Colorado potato beetle), 153 nucleotides. The record is from RefSeq and is a predicted model, not a curated record. Lineage: Eukaryota; Metazoa; Arthropoda; Insecta; Coleoptera; Chrysomelidae.
AUUCACCUUGUUUUUAGCUACUGCGAAAUCGAGAUUAUUGAAUAAACAGAAUGCAUUAGGCAGUGAAAUGGUUUUGCAGCGUACCGAAGAAGAAUUUUAAUUAACAAACAUGUAGAUACCUACCUUUUGAGAAUAAAUUUUUUUUUCAAAUUA